RNAcentral lists this ribosomal RNA (482 nucleotides) under uncultured Ochrobactrum sp. RNAcentral describes it as "bacterial SSU rRNA". It matches the Rfam family "Bacterial small subunit ribosomal RNA", at positions 8 to 524 of the family's 1533-position model. The record is from RNAcentral. Lineage: Bacteria; Pseudomonadati; Pseudomonadota; Alphaproteobacteria; Hyphomicrobiales; Brucellaceae.
AGAGUUUGAUCCUGGCUCAGAACGAACGCUGGCGGCAGGCCUAACACAUGCAAGUCGAACGAACUGAGGCCUUCGGGUCUCUAUGUUAGUGGCGCACGGGUGAGUAACGCGUGGGAACGUACCCUUUAGUACGGAAUAACGCAGGGAAACUUGCGCUAAUACCGUAUACGCCCUUCGGGGGAAAGAUUUAUCGCUAAAGGAUCGGCCCGCGUCUGAUUAGGUAGUUGGUGAGGUAACGGCUCACCAAGCCGACGAUCAGUAGCUGGUCUGAGAGGAUGAUCAGCCACACUGGGACUGAGACACGGCCCAGACUCCUACGGGAGGCAGCAGUGGGGAAUAUUGGACAAUGGGCGCAAGCCUGAUCCAGCCAUGCCGCGUGAGUGAUGAAGGCCCUAGGGUUGUAAAGCUCUUUCAACGGUGAAGAUAAUGACGGUAACCGUAGAAGAAGCCCCGGCUAACUUCGUGCCAGCAGCCGCGGUAAA